This 469-nucleotide ribosomal RNA is filed under the name uncultured bacterium. RNAcentral describes it as "partial 16S ribosomal RNA". It matches the Rfam family "Bacterial small subunit ribosomal RNA", at positions 28 to 508 of the family's 1533-position model. The record is from RNAcentral.
GACGAACGCUGGCGGCGUGCUUAACACAUGCAAGUCGAACGGAAAGGCCCUGCUUUUGUGGGGUGCUCGAGUGGCGAACGGGUGAGUAACACGUGAGUAACCUGCCCUUGACUUUGGGAUAACUUCAGGAAACUGGGGCUAAUACCGGAUAGGAGCUCCUGCUGCAUGGUGGGGGUUGGAAAGUUUCGGCGGUUGGGGAUGGACUCGCGGCUUAUCAGCUUGUUGGUGGGGUAGUGGCUUACCAAGGCUUUGACGGGUAGCCGGCCUGAGAGGGUGACCGGCCACAUUGGGACUGAGAUACGGCCCAGACUCCUACGGGAGGCAGCAGUGGGGAAUAUUGCACAAUGGGCGGAAGCCUGAUGCAGCAACGCCGCGUGCGGGAUGACGGCCUUCGGGUUGGAAACCGCUUUCGCCUGUGACGAAGCGUGAGUGAAGGUAAUGGGUAAAGAAGCACCGGCUAACUACGUGC